Molecule: long non-coding RNA, 915 nt
Filed under: Bos indicus x Bos taurus (hybrid cattle)
Lineage: Eukaryota; Metazoa; Chordata; Mammalia; Artiodactyla; Bovidae
Description: lncRNA (ENSBIXG00005006838.1)
Source: RNAcentral
GGGUGCCUCUCUUUUGUGAUUUCUUUAGUGAAAUAAAUCCUUGUGGCCUGGGGUGUUGGGGUCUAGGAAGCAUAGAUUCAAAGAGGUCUCUAGGUGGAAGAAGGAUUUGGGCAAGGAGAUAAGAACAUUGAUAAACCAGAUCACACAGGGGAAUGUAACCUUCUGACCCUCCAGUCUCCAAAAACACAGAGCAGUUAGCUUCAGGCAAGUCCUCCUCUUCCAGAAAGCCCACCAGGACUGCUGUCAGCAGUGUGGCUUGCAGCUGUCAAGCUACAGGAAAACCUCUUGGUUCUGUGCUGUGGGUAUGGGAGAGGGCUUGGAUGAGAAGAAGCUGGGUUAGGGAUAGGGCCAGGGUGGCUGCACGGGGAAGUGAUGGACAGAACAAGGGGCUUAUAGGCCCUGUGCGAGCCUGGCCCACAGCAGGUGGGAGGUAUUUUUAGGUAGGCUCGGGUGCAGACAGAGACAUUACGCCAUGGCCCGACAGGUGGUUAAUAUUUAAUCCCUUCCUUAAUCAUUAACUCCAUGGCUGGCUGGAGAGGAACAGGACUGUUGUCAAAUCAGUAACCACAGGCUGGGAACAAUGUCCACUGAGCUCGCGGCCCCUCCUGCAGCUGGGAGUGCUGGCUGGGUGGGGUUGUCCCUGGCCGUGGGGUCCCUGGUUCAUCUCCUUCCAGCAGUGACCUCAGGAUGCAGAGAAGUUACAAGAGGCAGAUGCUUUACCGUCUGAGCCACGAGGGAAGCCCCUGGGACAUGGUGAGUGCUAAAUCCAUUUAAAGGAGAAUUAGUUUCUGACUCGAGUAUUCAGGGAAGCUUCCUGGAGGAACAUUCCAGCUGGCCCUUUAGGGACCAGCAGGGUUGCCAUAGAUCUAGAUGAGGGAAAGGUGUCUCUUUCCUAAAGAGGGGCUGGAGUAAGCA